Molecule: ribosomal RNA, 465 nt
Filed under: uncultured bacterium
Lineage: Bacteria
Description: bacterial SSU rRNA
Rfam family: Bacterial small subunit ribosomal RNA
Source: RNAcentral
CCAGACUCCUACGGGAGGCAGCAGUGGGGAAUAUUGGUCAAUGGUCGGGAGACUGAACCAGCCAAGCCGCGUGAGGGAGGAAGGUACAGAGUAUCGUAAACCUCUUUUGUCAGGGAACAAAGGCGGGGACGUGUCCCCGGAUGAGUGUACCUGAAGAAAAAGCAUCGGCUAACUCCGUGCCAGCAGCCGCGGUAAUACGGAGGAUGCGAGCGUUAUCCGGUUUUAUUGGGUUUAAAGGGGGCGCAGGCGGGCUGUCAGGCGGGCGGCAAACGCCCGGGCCCCCCCCCCGCCCCGCCGUUGAAACUGGCAGUCUCGAGUUGGAGAGAAGUAUGCGGAAUGCGCGGUGUAGCGGUGAAAUGCAUAGAUAUCGCGCAGAACUCCGAUUGCGAAGGCAGCAUGCCGGCUCCACACUGACGCUGAGGCACGAAAGCGUGGGUAUCGAACAGGAUUAGAUACCCGGGUAGC